Molecule: ribosomal RNA, 301 nt
Filed under: uncultured bacterium
Lineage: Bacteria
Description: partial 16S ribosomal RNA
Rfam family: Bacterial small subunit ribosomal RNA
Source: RNAcentral
CAGCAGCCGCGGGAAAACGUAGGGUGCAAGCGUUAAUCGGAAUUACUGGGCGUAAAGCGUGCGCAGGCGGUUAUAUAAGACAGAUGUGAAAUCCCCGGGCUCAACCUGGGAACUGCAUUUGUGACUGUAUAGCUAGAGUACGGCAGAGGGGGAUGGAAUUCCGCGUGUAGCAGUGAAAUGCGUAGAUAUGCGGAGGAACACCGAUGGCGAAGGCAAUCCCCUGGGCCUGUACUGACGCUCAUGCACGAAAGCGUGGGGAGCAAACAGGAUUAGAUACCCCGGUAGUCCCUGUCUCUUAUAA